AUCACAUGGUUCAAAAGGGAAAGGAGCAAUCCGCUGAUAGAUGGGCUUGCGUCUGAUUAGAUAGUUGGUGAGGUAACGGCCCACCAAGUCGACGAUCAGUAGCCGGACUGAGAGGUUGAACGGCCACAUUGGGACUGAGAUACGGCCCAGACUCCUACGGGAGGCAGCAGUCGGGAAUAUUGCGCAAUGGAGGAAACUCUGACGCAGUGACGCCGCGUGCAGGAAGAAGGUUUUCGGAUUGUAAACUGCUUUAGACAGGGAAGAAACAAGACAGUACCUGUAGAAUAAGCUCCGGCUAACUACGUGCCAGCAGCCGCGGUAAUACGUAGGGAGCAAGCGUUAUCCGGAUUUAUUGGGUGUAAAGGGUGCGUAGACGGGAAAUUAAGUUAGUUGUGAAAUCCCUCGGCUUAACUGAGGAACUGCAACUAAAACUGAUUUUCUUGAGUGCUGGAGAGGAAAGUGGAAUUCCUAGUGUAGCGGUGAAAUGCGUAGAUAUUAGGAGGAACACCAGUGGCGAAGGCGACUUUCUGGACAGUAACUGACGUUGAGGCACGAAAGUGUGGGGAGCAAACAGGAUUAGAUACCCUGGUAGUCCACACCGUA
This 603-nucleotide ribosomal RNA is filed under the name uncultured bacterium. RNAcentral describes it as "bacterial SSU rRNA". It matches the Rfam family "Bacterial small subunit ribosomal RNA", at positions 185 to 804 of the family's 1533-position model. The record is from RNAcentral.